GUUCAACAGAGAGACGACGAUCAAGGACAGCUACACGAGGGCUGCAGCUAAGAAGAAGGUGAUGAAGACAGGUGUGGGAGAGGUGCUGCCCUUCAUCAAGUGGAUGGUGUACAGGAAGAUCAGGUGACCCGGGACGACCAACAGGAGCAGCACCUGGGCAGAGCGAUGAUUGGCGCCUGUCAGAGAGGUAUGUUAAGGGGACUGGUCAUGUGCAUGAGCCUGCCUACAUGUUGUCACGGAUUCUGCCGAGGCUGCUCCUCCUCCUUGUUCGGGCAGGCUUCGGCGUUCGUCGU
Long non-coding RNA from Coregonus clupeaformis (lake whitefish), 293 nucleotides. RefSeq lists it as uncharacterized. NCBI's taxonomy places the organism in Eukaryota, Metazoa, Chordata, Actinopteri, Salmoniformes, Salmonidae. The record is from RefSeq and is a predicted model, not a curated record. The transcript has 3 exons.